GCAGGCAGAGUAGCGUGCGAAUCAGAGGACAGAGCUCCCGCGGGCCGACACCGCCCUGUGGAGGCAGGCUGAGUUGAACAUGCUGGAUUUCAACCCUGGUGAGGAAACAGCAUGGAGGCCAAGGUUAAGGCAGAAUAACUGGGUAAUUUGUAGACGUUUUCAUUAGACAUUUACAAAACAUAACAAAAUACAGAUGAAAUAAGGGGUGUGACAGCACCCACUUCUUGAAUAACAAACAGUUCUUAGAGCUGAAAAGCAGACCGUCCCAUUUAAAAUCAUCAUCAUUGUUACUAUACUGAGGCAAGACUGCUCAAGGACGCUGGAACCUAAUUAAAGUAGGUGCUUCACAAGCUAACCUUUCUCGAUUCUGACAAUUAGGCUCAGUAAGACCCUAAUGUAACUAACUCUUCUGUGUCCUGGAAGGAAAUUUGGUCAUUUUUUCUUACCAGAUUAUCAGAUCUUAACAUUGUGGAUUCUCCUUUUAAAAACAUGACGUUGUCACUAAAUAGCCUAUUUAUGAUGUACUACCUAUUGUGUGGUCAUAGUAUAAAAAACUAUCAAGGGUUACCAGAGAAAACAAAGGGAAGCCUUUACUUCGAUUCAAAAGAUGAAGUAAAUGAGAAAGAGAGUGGGAAUGAAGACCUAUUAAGUACUGGAAGCAUUUUUUCUUUCUUUUUUUUUUUUUUUUUUUGGUGAGGAAGAUUGGCCCUGAGCUAACAUCAGUGCCAGUCUUCUGCUAUUUUGGAUGUGGGACGCCACCACAGCAUGGCUUGAUGAGUGUUGUGUAGGUCCACACCCAGGAUUCAAACCUGCAAAUGCUGGGUCAGGGAAGCAGAACAUGCGAACUUAACCACUCUGCCACCUGGCUGGCCCCUGGAUACAAUUUUUGAAGAUGGUCUAGCUACAAAAGUUUGUUGUCAAAAUUAAAUAAUUACUGAAUUUCAUUUCUAAAUUGUUUUUAGCUAUGUGGUGUAGUCUGAAGGUUCCACGAUGUAUUGUCUGCCUCUAAACAUGUCUGCCUCUGCCUGCCCUGGGGCUACCCAGCAGUUGUCACUAUUCGUAUAUAACUCUUAAGUCAGCGUUUUAACAUGGCUCCCACUGAAAUCAGUCCACAAAUUUUACUGAACAGAAGUGCCUGGUGAGAGGAAAUGUAAAAAAAGUGUAAAACCCUGUGCUCAAAAAUCUUCCAAUAGUUCCCCAUUUCAGUCCAUUUCAAGCCAAAGUCCUUACAGUGGCCUACAGGGCCUUAUAAGUCUGUCUCUGACCUCAUCUACUGUCCCCUUGCUCACCACUCUCCAGGAAUACUGGUUCCUUGCUGUUCCUAGAACACACCAGGCAUGAUUCUGUCUCAGGACCUUUGCACUAACUGUCCUGGACUGCUCUUCCUUUAGAUAUCUACACAGCUCUUUCUCUCCCAACCUAACGCUUUAUUUUAAUAUCUUGUUAAGAACUACCCUAUUUUAAAUUGCAACCUGACCCCAAAGCAAUCCUGAUGUCCCUUAAUCUUUAUUAGAUUUUAACAUUAGAUGUUAAAUAAUUUAUUAUUGUUUAUCAUUAGUGGCUUUUACUAUAAUGUAAACUUUGAGGGCAGGGAUUUAUUUCUGUUUUGUUUACUUCCUAAGUGUGGAGGCCAGCCUCCAAGAUGGUCCCCAAUGAUUCCGACAGUGACAGGGCUGACUUAUGUAGCCAAUAGGAUACUGCAGAAAUUAAAGAGUAUGACUUCCAAAGAUAGCUCAUAAAAGGCAUCUUGGAAAUAAAUCCUCUAGACCACGUUGAGCCUUUAUAUGACUGCAGUCCUGGCCAACAUCUUUCCUGCAGCCUGACGCUCUGACCCAGAAGCACCCAGAUGAGCUGCUCCCAGAUUUCAGAGAAAUUGGUAAAGGUUUACUGAUUUAAGCGCUAAAUUUUGGGGUAGUUACAUAGGAAGAGAUAGCUCAUGUACGAAGUAUCUAGAACUAUAUACCUGGCACAUAGUAGGCAUUUGAUAAAUGGAGGAAAGAACAAAACUGCCAGAAGUAACCUGAAUUGCCAUCAAGAUUAGCCAGGAUUAUCAUCACUUAUCAGGAAACAACAUGGACUCUCACACAAGUGAACGUGGAGUAAGAAAGUUUAGGAAGAGAAGUCGAGGAUGGGAUGAGAUGGAAUGGAACACGAAAUACUGCCUGGGGAGAGGGAAGUGACUCUGCUCCCCCAGAAUUCCCAACCAUCUUACUGCCACUCAUGUCUUACCCCCCUGUGCACUGUGGGGCAUGAAAAUCAAUGUUUGAGCAUUAAUAAAUUUGCCUAGAGUACCAUCUCUGUCAUUUUGUCAAGUAAUAUAUGAUAUAGGCACCUUAUUUCUUCUUUAAAAGUUGGAGAUAAACUUCUGUUUCUGGCGAAUAUGGAAUAACGGGGAAAGGAUUUACCCUCUCACCUGAAACAACUAAGAAAACUUAAAAACAACAAUAAUUUUUAAGGUGAACAGGCAGUGAAGGAAAUUGAACUCCAAAAGUAGGAAAAUAAACAAGGUAAACGAUUGUCCCAGUGUAGUGGAUGGAAAGACCUCUGGCUGUGGCACAGGGUGGGGGAACCCAGGCAGUUAGCAGCACCUCUGGUUUGAGAUCUUGAGCUGUGGGUCCUGGGAGGCCAAUGCAGCUGGAGUUCACAGGAUAGAGUGCCACAGAGGAGGGACACACUAAGAAUUUGAAGAUUUACAGAGGGUUCUUCUUGAAUAUGUAAAUAUCGAUCACUCCAUGUGUGUGUUGAAACUACCAGAUACUGAGAGAAGAGCCACCCAAAAGGAUUAAAGGUAACAAUCCUUGGAGCUUACACAGAGCUAGUAGUAGUUCCUGCUCCCAGCAUCUGGAGUGAAAAACAUGGUAAUUUAUAGGACGUUGGGUAGAGGAGCUGGAAGGCCUACACCAAAUGCUUCCCUGCUCUUGCAAAGCAAGACCCAAAAGGAUCGAAUUAUUUCUAAGUAACUUAACUGCAGCCCAGAACAAGGCUCAAGAAAUUCACAAGGUUUAACUUACGCUAUUAGCCAAUAAAAAGGUUGCCUAGCAUGCAAAGAAGCAGGAAAAGGGGUGGAACCGGUGGCCCAGCGGUUAAGUUCUCAAGUUCCGCUUCAGUGGCCCAGGGUUCGCUGGUUCAGAUCCUGGUUGGGGACAUGGCACCACUCAUCAGGCCAUGCUGUGGCAGGCAUCGCACAUAUAAAGUAGAGGAAGAUGGGCACAGAUGUUAGCUCAAGGCCAGUCUUCCUCAGCAAAAAGAAGAGGAUUGGCAGCAGUUAGCUCAGGACUAAUCUUCCUCAAAAAAAAAAAAAAAAGCAGGAAAAUACAAACCCAUACUAAAGAGAAAAAUCAAUCAAAAUGGACCUAGAAAUAAUUCAGAUGAUAGAAUUUUUAAGACAGCAAUAGAAGCUACCCAAAAUGAGAUACAAAGAAGACUGGAAACGGCCGGCCCGGUGGCCAGCAGUUAAGUGCACACAUUCCACUUUGGCGGCCCAGGAUUUGCUGUUUCAGAUCCCAAGUGCAGACAUGGCACCUCUUGGCAAGCCAUGCUGUGGUAGGCGUCUCACAUAUAAAGUAGAGGAAGAUGGGUAUGGAUGUGAGCUCAGGGCCAGUCUUCCUCAGCAAAAAGAGGAAGAUUGGCAGCAGAUGUUAGCUGAGGGCUAAUCUUCCUCAUAAAAUAAAAUAAAAUAGUAAAGUAAAAUAAAAUAAAAUAUAAAAUAAAAAAGACUGGAUGGGCUGGCCCGGUGGCACAGCGGUUAAGUGCACAUUCUGUUUUGGCAGCCUGAGAUCUACGGGUUUGGAUCCCAGGUGCAGACAUGGCACCGCUUGGCACACCAUGGUGUGGCAGGCGUCCCACAUAUAAAGUAGAGGCAGAUGGGCACGGAUGUUAGCUCGGGCCAGUCUUCCUCAGCAAAAAGAGAAGGAUUGGCAGAUGUUAGCUCAGGGCUGAUCUUCCUCAAAAAAAAAAAAAAAAAAAGACUGGAAAAAAGGAACAGCAUGAAUGAACCAUAGGACAACUUCAAGAGGCCUAGUAUACAUGUAAUUGGAGUUCCUGAAGGACAGAGAAAAAUAUUUGAAGGGGGAAUGGCUGGAAGUUUCCCAAAUUUCAUAAAAACUAAAAACUCACAGUUCUAAGAAUUUCAGUAAAUCCCAAGCAAAAGAAACAUAAGCAACAUCAAAUUGCUUAAAAUCAGUGAUAAAAAGACCUUAAAAACAGCCAGGGGAGUCAAGAUACAUUACCUGCAGGGCAACAAACAACAAUGGUAGCAGGUAUCUUGUCAGGAACAAUGCAAGCUGGAAGACAUCGGAGCAGUAUUUUCAAAGGAAUGAGAAAAACUCUAAACCUAGAAUUCUCUACCAAGUGAAAAUAUCUUUCAAAAACCUAGGUGAAAUAAAGACUUGCAGACAUAAACCAUUAUUAGUCAUUAGGAAAAUGCAAACUCAAACCACAAUGAGGUAGCACUACGUACCUAUAAGAAUGGCUACAAUUUAAAAGGUUGGUGAGUAGAAUCAACCCAAAUGUCCAUCAACUGGUGAAUGGAUAUGUGGUAUAGCCAUACAAUGGUACACUAUUCAGCCACAUACAGGAAUGAGGUACUGAAACAUGCUAGAAGAUAGAAGAACCUUGAAAACAUGCUAUGUGUAAGAAACCAGUCAGACAACUCCACGUAUUAUGAUUCCAUUUACGUAAAAUGUCCAGAAUAGGCAAAUCCAUAGAUUAAUCCGGAAAGUGGAUUAGUGAUUGCAUAGGACUGGGGCUGAGGGUUGGGGGGAGAAUGAGAAUGACUGCUAAUGGAUACAGGGGUUUCUUUUUGGGCUGAUGGAAAUGUUCUAAAAUUGAUUGUGACGAUAGGUGCACAUCUCUGUGAAUACGUUAUGGUGUAUUUCAUGGUAUAUGAAAUAUAUCUCAAAGCUGUCAUUUAAAAAAUAUUAAAGUGUUUGAAAGAAUGUGUAGCAGCUGGGAUACACUGCUGGUGGGCACACCAACUUGAAAAAGAGUUUGUCAGUUUCUUAAAAAGUUAAGAAUCCAUCUACCACAGGAAUCAGUCAUUCCAUUUACACAUUCACACGAGGAGUGAAAGCAUAUGUUCAUACAAAGACGUGUGCAUGAAUUUUAAAUUUUAAUUUUAAGUUCUUGAUACAAAUAACAGAGGAAUCUCUAUGCUGAGUGUAAGAAGCAGACAAAAAAGAGUACAUACUGUAUGAUUCCAUUUAUACAAAAUUCUGGAAAUUGCCAACUAUUCUAUAGUGAUAGACAGUGUUUGCCUAGGGAGAGGAGGUCGUCUGGGUGGAGGGGCAGAAGGGAGAGAUUACAACAGGGCACAAGCAAAUUUUUAGAGGCGAUGAGUAUGUUCGUUAUCUUGAUUGUGGUGAUAGCUGUACACAUGGCAAACUUGAUCAGGUUGUAUGCUUUUUGUGUGUGCAAUUUAUUGUGUGUUAAUUAUACCUCAAUAAAGCUGUUUUAAAAACCCUGC
This 5464-nucleotide long non-coding RNA is filed under the name Equus caballus (horse). RNAcentral describes it as "lncRNA (ENSECAG00000053213.1)". The record is from RNAcentral. Lineage: Eukaryota; Metazoa; Chordata; Mammalia; Perissodactyla; Equidae.